This 1013-nucleotide long non-coding RNA is filed under the name Anas platyrhynchos platyrhynchos (common mallard). RNAcentral's name for it is "lncRNA (ENSAPLG00000027257.1)". Lineage: Eukaryota; Metazoa; Chordata; Aves; Anseriformes; Anatidae. The record is from RNAcentral.
CUGCACCGUGCUGUCAGGAGCCCUCUGCCUCGCAUGCCCGGGACACAAGCAGCCGGCACCACGGCCCUACACCUUGUCGGAUAGCACUGCCCCCAGGGCGUGCAGACGUUGCAAGCAACAACACAACAGCCUGCCCUGUCAUGUAGCAUUACUUACGUGUUCAGAUAUGCAUCCUUCUCACAUUUCUACUCCAGCAAGUGGUUGCUAGCAGAGCAGGGCUAGGACAAGUUCACCACCUGCUAAAGACAUGUCCCUAAUACAACACAGCGACGAUUUUGUUACAUCGGGUCCUUUCUGUGCACAGCUCAAGCACAAGGAAAGAACAUACGUGAGAGAACAGAAGCACAUCGAUCGAGGCGCUGAAAGAAAGCGGGGAGAGAGCUGGCAUCGAGGGCAGGCUCAGGCAAGAGCAUUGACUUCAACCCUACCUCCAUGCAACGCAAGGACUCCAAGCAGAGGAAUCCCUGCUCCAGCCCUUCCUGGGGCAUUCACGCCACCGAUAACGCCUUGCAAAAUCCAGAGCGGCCCAGGCAAAACCAGGCACGGUGUCAGUAAGAAGUUCUUCGCAUCUACAGCACAGCUCAGGCUCUGCUCCUGGUGGAGUUCCAGCAGCAGACAGCUCAGAAGGACCCCAGACAAGCAGCCUCUAGGAUUUUUUUUUUCUCCAGGCUGUACCAGGAGACUCAGAAGGGCCACGCAGACCGGAGGCGAUGUCCACGACGUGCCCGAUGCCAGCACGAGCACUGACAGCAGCGCUGGGGCCAACCCAAGCGGGGGACGACCCCGCACCACCGGGGCCGGCCACCGACGACCCCACAGAGCCUCGGGGACCAGCUCCGCGUGGGUCCCUCCACCUGCCCCGUGCCCGGGCCCUUUUUUCCUCAACUUCCUCGCCCGUCGAGGAUGGCACCGGCGCCGCUCCCGGGGGAGCCCCGGCGCCUCCUGCGGGGCUCGGAGCCCGACAGCGCGUCCCGGGGGGGGCGGAACAAUGGGGGAGCAGCGGCGGCGGGGCA